CGCUGGCGGCAGGCCUAACACAUGCAAGUCGAACGGUAACAGGAAGCAGCUUGCUGCUUCGCUGACGAGUGGCGGACGGGUGAGUAAUGUCUGGGAAACUGCCUGAUGGAGGGGGAUAACUACUGGAAACGGUGGCUAAUACCGCAUAACGUCGCAAGACCAAAGAGGGGGACCUUCGGGCCUCUUGCCAUCAGAUGUGCCCAGAUGGGAUUAGCUUGUUGGUGAGGUAACGGCUCACCAAGGCGACGAUCCCUAGCUGGUCUGAGAGGAUGACCAGCCACACUGGAACUGAGACACGGUCCAGACUCCUACGGGAGGCAGCAGUGGGGAAUAUUGCACAAUGGGCGCAAGCCUGAUGCAGCCAUGCCGCGUGUAUGAAGAAGGCCUUCGGGUUGUAAAGUACUUUCAGCGGGGAGGAAGGUGUUGUGGUUAAUAACCGCAGCAAUUGACGUUACCCGCAGAAGAAGCACCGGCUAACUCCGUGCCAGCAGCCGCGGUAAUACGGAGGGUGCAAGCGUUAAUCGGAAUUACUGGGCGUAAAGCGCACGCAGGCGGUCUGUCAAGUCGGAUGUGAAAUCCCCGGGCUCAACCUGGGAACUGCAUUCGAAACUGGCAGGCUUGAGUCUUGUAGAGGGGGGUAGAAUUCCAGGUGUAGCGGUGAAAUGCGUAGAGAUCUGGAGGAAUACCGGUGGCGAAGGCGGCCCCCUGGACAAAGACUGACGCUCAGGUGCGAAAGCGUGGGGAGCAAACAGGAUUAGAUACCCUGGUAGUCCACGCCGUAAACGAUGUCUACUUGGAGGUUGUGCCCUUGAGGCGUGGCUUCCGGAGCUAACGCGUUAAGUAGACCGCCUGGGGAGUACGGCCGCAAGGUUAAAACUCAAAUGAAUUGACGGGGGCCCGCACAAGCGGUGGAGCAUGUGGUUUAAUUCGAUGCAACGCGAAGAACCUUACCUGGUCUUGACAUCCACAGAAGAAUCCAGAGAUGGAUUUGUGCCUUCGGGAACUGUGAGACAGGUGCUGCAUGGCUGUCGUCAGCUCGUGUUGUGAAAUGUUGGGUUAAGUCCCGCAACGAGCGCAACCCUUAUCCUUUGUUGCCAGCGAUUAGG
Molecule: ribosomal RNA, 1106 nt
Filed under: Salmonella enterica subsp. enterica serovar Typhimurium
Lineage: Bacteria; Pseudomonadati; Pseudomonadota; Gammaproteobacteria; Enterobacterales; Enterobacteriaceae
Description: bacterial SSU rRNA
Rfam family: Bacterial small subunit ribosomal RNA
Source: RNAcentral